Long non-coding RNA from Gallus gallus (chicken), 859 nucleotides. The record is from Ensembl. NCBI's taxonomy places the organism in Eukaryota, Metazoa, Chordata, Aves, Galliformes, Phasianidae.
AGACUAACUUGAAGGUCCGGAAGUGCCGCCCCCGAGCGCUCCUGAUUGGCGGCCCGGCCGCGCCGCCCGCCGGGGAUAGGCUGCGGAUGCCGUCAGCGCCGGGGUUACAGACUGAUUAAGAAUGCUGGUGGUGUACUGUGUGCUACUAAAUGAGAACGUGUAAACGCCAGCAGUUUUUUUCCCUAUACAGUUUAGAACUGUUUCAGAGGUUUCAAAUACAUACAGUAGCUCAGGAAACUCAUGGGAAGCACUCUUCAGAAAGGCAGCGCCUCUUUAGGUUCUACUUUGUCACUUCUCUUGGAUGCUCAGUAGGAAUGAGGCUCCAUCAAGAUGAGCACAGUAUUAAAGGAAAGUACAAUCCAAAACUGAAUUGAGAAUAGAAAGAGUUCUUAACUCACACUGACUAAAGCUUUUGUUUCAGUAAUUACGUGAUCUUAGACUCUUCUGGAAGGAGUGAUGAGAUAUGGACGUAGUGUGUGACAGCAGUAUAGGGGCAGCCGAGGGGAAGCAACGUGGAGGAUAAUUAAGUUUGCAUCAAUCACAGUGUUGUGCCUGCAAUCCCCCAACACCCCCAGUCAAAAAAAAAAGCAAGUUUGCAGGUCUGCACGUACUCACUGUGGAAGCUAAAAAGCAGGAUACGUGAUGAUCUCUCCCAAGGUGUAUUUGUUGCAGAAUGAGGUUUUCCUGGUGCCCUGUGUGCACUUCACCAUCGAUCUCAAGCCAGACUGUUGCAUAGAACCACAAGGUAACAAUUGGAUGUCAUUCAAAAUAUUUUUUCAAGGACAUUUUUGACCUUAAGUAAGAGAGAGCCCUUCCAGACCUGUAAUAGAUGAAAGGCUCAUGUUUCUGGAAACCAAAA